UUAGAUCUGUGUGUUUUGCAUCAGAGAGCUGAAAACCUAUCUCUGUGCUGGCCCCCAGUAGGGCAGAACAACCUUACCUGGUACUGUUGGCAGGCCUGAGGCAGAGGCAGAAAUGAAGGGGACAAGAGCACAAGGAAAGGGAAGAAAGUAGUUGAAAGAAAAAGCAAGUUGAAAGCUGAGGUCUCUCUGGAGAUGAAGAUUCACUCAUUUAACCUGCAUUGAACAUAUCGAAUAACCCUACUAUAGGCUCGUACGAGAUGGAAUGUUAAAAAAAGCUAAAGUUGUCAUAAAGAACAGCGGAUAUAAUCUAUUAUCCAAUUUAAUAUACCCUGUCAUUCAGCUCUAGCUCUAUCCCAUUGAUUUUGUUUCUCUGGAGAACCUUGAUUGAUGCAAUUGAAGAUAAGGAUUUGAGGGGGCAAAUAUAUAGGUUUCCUGUGGGUCACAGGUGGAUUACAUGAAAAAACUGGAUUUUGGUCAUAUUAAAAGAGAUUCUACCAAAACUGUCUUUGUAAAGGAUGGCAGUAGGCCAUCUAAAGCUUCAGAAUGAAGACAUUUCAUCAAAGAAGACAUAUAGAUGGCCAAAAGGCACAUGAAAAAAUGCUCAA
Phacochoerus africanus (Common warthog) is the source of this 605-nucleotide long non-coding RNA. RefSeq lists it as uncharacterized. NCBI's taxonomy places the organism in Eukaryota, Metazoa, Chordata, Mammalia, Artiodactyla, Suidae. The record is from RefSeq and is a predicted model, not a curated record. The transcript has 4 exons.